This 296-nucleotide RNase P RNA is filed under the name Clostridia bacterium. Its description in RNAcentral is "partial RNase P RNA component class A". It matches the Rfam family "Bacterial RNase P class A", at positions 71 to 367 of the family's 367-position model. From Rfam's summary of the family: Ribonuclease P (RNase P) is a ubiquitous endoribonuclease, found in archaea, bacteria and eukarya as well as chloroplasts and mitochondria. The record is from RNAcentral. Lineage: Bacteria; Bacillati; Bacillota; Clostridia.
GUGCUGGAUAACGUCCAGUGGGGGCGACCCUAAGGAAAGUGCCACAGAAAAAGACCGCCUGGCUCUUAUCUGCUUUUUGCAGUGGGCUGGGUAAGGGUGGAAAGGUGAGGUAAGAGCUCACCAGCAGGUUAGGCGACUAACCUGGCUCGGUAAACCCCACCUGGAGCAAGGCCAAAUAGGGGAACACAUGAAGUGGCCCGCUUCGUUCCCGGGUAGUGCCGCUUGAGGUGUCAGGCAACUGGCAUCCCAGAUAGAUGACCACCAAAACAGAAUUCGGCUUAUGAUUUGCUCAACAG